This 213-nucleotide ribosomal RNA is filed under the name Triticum aestivum (bread wheat). RNAcentral describes it as "partial small subunit ribosomal RNA". The record is from RNAcentral. Lineage: Eukaryota; Viridiplantae; Streptophyta; Magnoliopsida; Poales; Poaceae.
CCACGUGAAGGUGCUCUUCAGGUACUCCACUCUGGCUGUAAUCUCCGCCUCGCUCAUGAAUGCAACGGCAUGCAGCGCGUGCCUGAACAUCCCAGAACCACGGGGCACACCUAUGUUUUCGGCGCAUGCCACCAUCGCCUGGAGAUGCUGCAGGUUGGCGGUGAUCAUCCUCGGUCUUUGGAUGCACAACUUGGCAAUAUCGCAAGCACCUAA